Molecule: ribosomal RNA, 508 nt
Filed under: uncultured bacterium
Lineage: Bacteria
Description: bacterial SSU rRNA
Rfam family: Bacterial small subunit ribosomal RNA
Source: RNAcentral
CAGAUUGAACGCUGGCGGCGUGCUUAACACAUGCAAGUCGCGCGUGAAAGGACUUCGGUCCGAGUAAAGCGGCGCACGGGUGAGUAACGCGUGGAUGAUCUACCCAUGAGUUAGGAAUAACGGCUGGAAACGGUCGCUAAUACCAAAUACGCUCCGAUUUCAACUUCGGGGGAAAGGUGGCCUCUGCUUGCAAGCUACUGCUCAUGGAUGAGUCCGCGUCCCAUUAGCUAGUUGGUGGGGUAACGGCCCACCAAGGCGACGAUGGGUAGCCGGUCUGAGAGGAUGACCGGCCACACUGGGACUGGAACACGGCCCAGACUCCUACGGGAGGCAGCAGUGGGGAAUAUUGCGCAAUGGGCGAAAGCCUGACGCAGCGACGCCGCGUGAGGGAUGAAGGUCCUCGGAUCGUAAACCUCUGUCAGGAGGGAAGAACCGCCACGGUGCUAAUCAGCCGUGGUCUGACGGUACCUCCAAAGGAAGCACCGGCUAACUCCGUGCCAGCCGCAGC